UACGUAGGGUGCGAGCGUUAAUCGGAAUUACUGGGCGUAAAGCGUGCGUAGGCGGCGCGCUAAGACAGGUGUGAAAGCCCCGGGCUUAACCUGGGAAUGGCGCUUGUGACUGGCGGGCUCGAGUGCGGCAGAGGGAGGUGGAAUUCCACGUGUAGCAGUGAAAUGCGUAGAGAUGUGGAGGAACACCAGUGGCGAAGGCGACUCUUUGGCCUGUAACUGACACUGAGGCGCGAAAGCGUGGGGAGCAAACAGG
Molecule: ribosomal RNA, 253 nt
Filed under: uncultured bacterium
Lineage: Bacteria
Description: partial 16S ribosomal RNA
Rfam family: Bacterial small subunit ribosomal RNA
Source: RNAcentral